AUUGAACGCUGGCGGCAUGCCUUACACAUGCAAGUCGAACGGUAACAGGUCUUCGGAUGCUGACGAGUGGCGAACGGGUGAGUAAUACAUCGGAACGUGCCUAGUAGUGGGGGAUAACUACUCGAAAGAGUUGCUAAUACCGCAUGAGAUCUACGGAUGAAAGCAGGGGAUCGCAAGACCUUGUGCUACUAGAGCGGCCGAUGGCAGAUUAGGUAGUUGGUGGGAUAAAAGCUUACCAAGCCGACGAUCUGUAGCUGGUCUGAGAGGACGAUCAGCCACAGUGGGACUGAGACACGGCCCAGACUCCUACGGGAGGCAGCAGUGGGGAAUUUUGGACAAUGGGCGAAAGCCUGAUCCAGCAAUGCCGCGUGCAGGAUGAAGGCCUUCGGGUUGUAAACUGCUUUUGUACGGAACGAAAAGCCCUGGGUUAAUACCCUGGGGUCAUGACGGUACCGUAAGAAUAAGCACCGGCUAACUACGUGCCAGCCGCCGCGGUAA
This 498-nucleotide ribosomal RNA is filed under the name uncultured bacterium. RNAcentral describes it as "partial 16S ribosomal RNA". It matches the Rfam family "Bacterial small subunit ribosomal RNA", at positions 30 to 523 of the family's 1533-position model. The record is from RNAcentral.